GUGUACUUAGAAAGGUCACAGUGUUGGAGAGACAGCUGGUGCAGUGAGUUUUUUUUCUCUUUUCUUUCAGUGUGUGAUGGAGUCUGGUUUUCUCGCCGUUAUUCUUGUCUCCUCUUUUGCAGUGAAUUCCUCUCACUCUGCCAUCACAGACUGGGAAGAUGUUGUGGUGGCGAGAGAGGGCAUGCCUACCACCUUGGUCUGCACUGAUACAGUCAGGGGUGCCGUGGCCAUUAACUGGAUGGUGAAGUCACUUGGUGCGGAUGAUUUGAAACUGGUUCUCUCAGCCAGCGAAACUAACGAGUUCUCGGGUGGUGCCUCGAGGGCAUCCAUGCAGUUGAGUGACCCUAACUUUCAAGACACAGGGGUUUUCUCUCUGUCCUUAGUUCCCACAAUGGAGGACAUUGGUCUCUACUCAUGCUUGAUUAAGCAACAAGAGAGGAAACUGAAGGAGAAGAUUAUCCUCUUAGCCAUCCUUACAGUGACGGUUGUCCCUGCUGCACCCAUUCCUCAGCAAAGCACCCUGCGGCUGAUUGCUUGUGUUAAUCCUCCCUCUGCCGUCAAAAAGAUCACCUGGGCAGCACCUGGCGGCAUUCCCAUAAAGAGCGAGAAGAAGCCAAACACAGGCACAGUGGCCAAACUGCCACAGGUCCAGAACAGUGACAAUGGGGCUUAUGUUUGUAUGGUCCACCCUUGGGGUAACAGCAGCAGCGCUCUUUUCCCCUUCAACGUGGAGGUGACUGUUGAUGCUGACAAUGUGGCCUCAUUCACCAGUAUAACACAUGAAAGCGAAGUCUCCACUGCCACUCAGGCUCAGACCCCUUUCCUCAUGACCUGUCCUGGUGUUGUGGGAGACUUUGUCAGGCUGCACUGGCUACCUCCAGACAGGAAGAGGGGCACUGAUAUGAAGUUGGUGUAUGAGUACGACCGCUGGAGGGAUUCCACCAUUUUAACAGCGCACAGCAAGAAACUCAUGCUUGCCGGCCCACCCUAUAACGCAGAGGCUGGGAGCUUCGCCUUUCUGCUCACUCCUGGGUUGCAAGAUGGAGGCCUCUAUGUCUGUGACGUGUUCCAAAAUGACAACGCCUUCAGCAACAGGGUCACACUGAGCGUGCUGAAAGUUAAAAUCAGCUAUUCCUCCUCAAAGCUGGAAUUGGGGUGCCUGUACUCAGAGCGGUCUCAGGUCCAAAGUGCUGUUUGGAAGUACCAGAAUAAGAGUCGCCGGCUAGAGUUGUUUAGCAACCGCCCUGGCAGCAUUACCACCACUCUGGCCUUACCCAUCACCCCUGACACAGCCGGGAACUACACCUGCAUCCUACGGCUGAAAAAUGGCCGGACCGUCUGGGCAACGCAAGCUGUCACACUGCCCCAUGAACCUGAGAAGGAUGAUAUCUGACAGAUGUGAUCGCUUUGUGCUCCAUGAACAGUGAGCAGGCGGUGACACAACACUUGCUCAGGUACACUAAAUUACAGCAGUCUCUGUGGAAACGAGCACCUCCCUCCUGCUUCUUGCGUCGCCCUGUGGCUGUGUUUUGCAAGGCUGAUGUCAUCCUCAUUAUGCAAACAAACCUGACAAGUCUGAUAGCAAGCAUGAGCUAUUCUAACACAAUUUGAAUACAGUGAACAAAUGGUUUGCUUAUGUAAUGUUUGUUAUAAUCAGGCCCACGCUUUCUAUCCACCUGUUUACUGACACUGCAUUGACAGGGUUUAGCUGAAAGACAGAUAUUUACAUUGUUUGUCAGUUUGCCUGGAGGCAGUUUGUUGCAAGGUUCAGAUGUCAAAGACAGUGUGCAUGGAAAAGCCUCUCCUGGCAUUCCCCACACUACACGCAUAACUACAUACAUAUUUAGAUAACAAGUGAGGGAAUAGGAUUUGCAAAACUCAAACUACUUGGUAUGGAAGUGGCAUUUUGGAGGUUUUGUGUAGCCUAAUGAUCUGACAGCAUCUGGUCUCUUUGAUACGGGUGCUUUUCUUUUUCCCAUCCACAUUUCAAAUUGACAGCGUUUACUGUCCAGACUGAGGGUCUGUCAGAUCGAUGUCUACCCAGCUGUCGUGCAGACUAUUCACCCUGUAUGACAGAGCCUGAAUUUUUUCGCCCUCUUCCUCUGCACCCAUUGUCUGUGACUGACAGCAGCAUGAUGCAAAUGCAUGUAACAUGUUCAGGAAGACUCAACAUAUCUUUAAAUCCAUAGCUUGAAGUGUGGAGAAAAAGGUGGCCCCCUCUUAACUUGAACAAAAGAGCAAAGUGGAGAACAAAUAGCAAUGACUUCUCCUCAUGUCAUUUAACCAGACAUGCUCAUAGCUCCACAAAUUAUAUAUUAACACUGUUCUUGGAAACAUUUGUGUUUUUUUUUUUUUUCGUCUUUACUCUGUCUCACUUUUUUUUUUUUAUUUAGUCGAGAUCGACACCCCCUCCCUGCUCCCUUCUCUCUCUGCUUUAUUACUCCUGGUGCCCCUGGUUGCUGCGGCUGUCUGUGUGUUGCUAUGGAGACAGAAACACAUUUCUGAUCGCGGUAUUGAGCAGUCCCUGUCUGUCCACUC
RNA transcript from Epinephelus fuscoguttatus (brown-marbled grouper), 2538 nucleotides. It is a transcript of the gene named g6f-like, with no coding region annotated. Lineage: Eukaryota; Metazoa; Chordata; Actinopteri; Perciformes; Serranidae. The transcript has 8 exons. The record is from RefSeq and is a predicted model, not a curated record.